This is a long non-coding RNA of Amphiprion ocellaris (clown anemonefish), 1963 nucleotides long. The record is from Ensembl. Lineage: Eukaryota; Metazoa; Chordata; Actinopteri; Pomacentridae.
AAGACAUAAGUCAAUACAUAUUAUUAAAAUUUGGGAUAUCAGGGUUAUUUUGAUGUAAAGCAAAUAAAAAUACUCCAAAUAAUGGCACUACAGCAUGUAAAAAUGUAAAAAUAUGUCCUGGCGGACUUGCACAAUGGUGGGUCUUAAAGGGUUAAAGUCAAAAAAUAGUCCCAAACAUGAAUAUAAACCUGCUUUUAUUAAGGAAAUGUAAUAAAAUCCUUUGUACAUGACCUCUCCACAGAGGUUCGUUGUGUCCAUACAUGCAACUCUCUUGGUUGAGGUACUGUGACAAAUGAAAAACUAAAACCAAACUGGAUCCAAUGUCGGACGCUUAACUAAACCAGGGUCCCAUUUCGAGUUGCAGUUUGGUAAAACUAUCACCAAAUUCACAUGCACUUCAUCGGGGAGAAAAGGAUGAGAGAGUCUGGUAUACUAAACAAAUGUAGGCGCACAUGGUUUGUAGCGUUUGUAGGUUUUUUUUCCCUCCAGUUUAUAAAAAGUUCACUUAUACAAACAGACAAAUGUUUCAUUCGUUGCUUUCUUCAAUGUACAGCUCACCUUCUGCAUAAUGCAUAGACACAGAAAGCUCAUCACAACCAAAGAAGCUAUGGUGUGUUAUCAUUGACCAAAAAAUGUUGAGAAUCACAGCUGCAGAUACUGCACUUACAUGAGAACAGCUUCUAAGUGUGUACAAAGUGUAAACCAUAAGCUCAGUUAAACCACUUGAAUAUUCUGUUACAUAAAAAGGGCUCAUUUUCCUAGUCUCUAAAGUAUUUAUAAUUCUUUUGAUUCCAACAAUAUGGCACUAAGUGAUUUAAAGCGGACCUCAUUUCAAUAAAAAGAAAUUACUUCUUUUUAAAUAGUGGCAGUUGAAACAAAUGCAGUCUCACAUGGUUGGUUUAAAACAAGCAUCUAAGUGAAUACAGUCAGCUGUAAAUGAUGUCAGCAGGCUUUGAAAACAACACCUAAGCUGCUUCUGAUGACCACUAGUUUCAUAUUAUCAAUAUUUUCUGAGUAAAAACUGGGGUACAAUGUCGUCAGUUUAUUUGAUGCUUAACCCUAGUGACUGAUGCUCAUCCUAUAUUCUGACACUGAAAAUAUUCUUAUAGUAAAACAAGAAAAUGACUUUACUUCACUAAAUAUAACAUUUAUCCAACUUAAGAGUUCACCACAAAAAUAUGUCUGUAAAGGAUUCAAAUGACUUAAUAAGUACUCCAGGAUUUUGAUUGCAAAUCAUGGCUUUUUUUUCUUCUUCUUCUUCAAAAUAGAAAACAACUGAAAUUGCAACAGUUCAUCUAAUUGUCAUAUGAAGCAAUGUUUUGCGCUAGUUCCACAGAUUUUUAGUUGUUUUUUUCAAGUGAAUUAAAUUUUAUUUGCAUUGCCAUGACGCCGAAAUGCUCCAUAAGGCACUACGAGAGGCAAAUCCCACGUUUCCAGAAGCAAAAGUCCUGUUGCGUCAUUGCCCCCUGUUAGUGUGACGGGUUUCUAACCCAAAAUGAGCACUUGUUGACUGGUAGGCUUGAGUCCAAGCUGAUGACAAAAGAAGGCUGCUGCCUCCAGGAUGCCAACCUCGGAGUGUCGGGGUCACACAGAGUGGCAGUUUCCAUCCAGACGCACCAGUGGGAAUAGACACAUUUCACCUGUGCAGAGCCAAGAGACCAAGAUAAAAAAACUGGACACAUUCAUAGGCUAUAUGUGUGUGCUUGUGUGUGUCAUUUAACCCUUGUGUCAUCCUGCGGGUAAAAAUUGACCCGUUUUAAAGUUUGAAAACAUGGAAAAAAUAUAUAUAUUUUCACAGUGAAACUUCUGACGUCCACAUUUUCAACAUUUUUGGGAAAUCUUUGAACAUUUUUUGAUGGAAAAAAAAUGUUAAAAAAUGUUUAAGAACAAAAAAAAUCAACCAAAAUCCAGCCAAUUUCGGGGUGCAGAGAAAACAUUAAAAAGUACAACAAAAGAUUUUGAA